CCUACGGUGGACAGCAGUGAGGAAUAUUGGUCAAUGGUCGAGAGCCUGAACCAGCCAAGUCGCGUGAGGGAGUACUGCCCUAUGGGUUGUAAACCUCUUUUGUCGGGGAGCAAAAGCCGUACGUGUCCGGCUGUGAGAGUACCCUAAUAACAAGCCUCGGCUAACUUCGUGCCAUCAGCCGGCGUACUACGGAGGAUGCGAGCGUUAUCCGGAUUUAUUGGGUUUACGGGGUGCGCAGUCGGAUUUUUACGUCAGCGGUCAAAUCGUGGGGCUAAACCCCAUCCAGCCGUUGAAACUGGUGAUCUAGAGUGUGCGGGAGGUAUGCGGAAGGCGUGGUGUAGCGGUGAAAUGCAUAGAGAUCACGCAGAACCCCGAUUGCGAAGGCAGCAUACCGGUGCACAACUGACGCUCAGGCACGAAAGCGUGGGUAUCGAACAGGAUUAGAUACCCCUGUAGUC
RNAcentral lists this ribosomal RNA (458 nucleotides) under uncultured bacterium. RNAcentral describes it as "partial 16S ribosomal RNA". It matches the Rfam family "Bacterial small subunit ribosomal RNA", at positions 338 to 795 of the family's 1533-position model. The record is from RNAcentral.